CUUGAGCAAGGAGGAGGAAGGGGGACAGAAACAUUUUCCUGCAGCUUAAAGGAAAGAAUUAGAAGUCAGCUUGGAAGUGGCACAACUUAUCAGUGGUGUGUUCUCAGAUGGAAGAGACAUCUGGAGUAUGAAAACAUCCACAAUCCAUUCCCGGAAGGCAGGAAAAGACGCAUAUAAAGAAAUGGGAAACUGGGUACUCAUUUUACCAACCUCGGAUGGAUGGAAGACUAAGUCAACCUUGAGCCGGCUAUCUGAACCCGGCUUCCACCAGGAUUGAACUCAGGUCGUAUAAGCAGAGCUUGGACUGCAGAACAGCAGCUUCCAAGAGAAGUUUUAGGACUGAAGCCAGAAGAAGAAUGAGUCACCUACAGUGAAAGAACACGUCUGAUUUAUAUACUCUCAGAAACAUCCGUUAUGGCUUUGACCUUUCCUGCUGUUUUGGCAAGAACCUGAGCAUCAAUAAGGUGGCCCAGAUAUGCAGUAGUCCAACUCCUGGAUGCAUUCACAUUUGUCCUUGCAAACUUUCCCCCCCCUUGUAGACCUUCAAUUUCUGUAAGGUUGCUGUGACACAUUCAACUGUA
Eublepharis macularius is the source of this 581-nucleotide long non-coding RNA. RefSeq lists it as uncharacterized. The transcript has 4 exons. Lineage: Eukaryota; Metazoa; Chordata; Lepidosauria; Squamata; Eublepharidae. The record is from RefSeq and is a predicted model, not a curated record.